Molecule: ribosomal RNA, 391 nt
Filed under: uncultured bacterium
Lineage: Bacteria
Description: bacterial SSU rRNA
Rfam family: Bacterial small subunit ribosomal RNA
Source: RNAcentral
GACGAACGCUGGCGGCGUGCUUAACACAUGCAAGUCGAGCGGUAAGGCCCCUUUCGGGGGGUACACGAGCGGCGAACGGGUGAGUAACACGUGGGUGACCUGCCCUCAGCUCUGGGAUAAGCCUGGGAAACCGGGUCUAAUACUGGAUAUGACUCCAUGACGCAUGUUGUGGGGUGGAAAGCCUUGUGCGGCUGAGGAUGGGCCCGCGGCCUAUCAGCUUGUUGGUGGGGUGAUGGCCUACCAAGGCGACGACGGGUAGCCGGCCUGAGAGGGCGACCGGCCACACUGGGACUGAGACACGGCCCAGACUCCUACGGGAGGCAGCAGUGGGGAAUCUUGCGACAAGUGGGCGAAAGCCUGACGCAGCGACGCCGCGUGAGGGAUGACGGCC